UACGGAGGAUCCAAGCGUUAUCCGGAUUCAUUGGGUUUAAAGGGUGCGCAGGCGGAAUGAUAAGUCAGAGGUGAAAUCCUACAGCUUAACUGUAGAACUGCCUUUGAUACUGUUAUUCUAGAGUACACAUGAAGUGGGCGGAAUGUAGCAUGUAGCGGUGAAAUGCUUAGAUAUGCUACAGAACACCGAUCGCGAAGGCAGCUCACUAAACUGUAACUGACGCUCAUGCACGAAAGCGUGGGGAU
RNAcentral lists this ribosomal RNA (245 nucleotides) under uncultured bacterium. RNAcentral's name for it is "partial 16S ribosomal RNA". It matches the Rfam family "Bacterial small subunit ribosomal RNA", at positions 524 to 768 of the family's 1533-position model. The record is from RNAcentral.